RNAcentral lists this ribosomal RNA (650 nucleotides) under Streptomyces africanus. RNAcentral's name for it is "bacterial SSU rRNA". It matches the Rfam family "Bacterial small subunit ribosomal RNA", at positions 59 to 724 of the family's 1533-position model. The record is from RNAcentral. Lineage: Bacteria; Bacillati; Actinomycetota; Actinomycetes; Kitasatosporales; Streptomycetaceae.
CAGUCGACGAUGAAGCCGCUUCGGUGGUGGAUUAGUGGCGAACGGGUGAGUAACACGUGGGCAAUCUGCCCUGCACUCUGGGACAAGCCCUGGAAACGGGGUCUAAUACCGGAUACAACCACUGGGGGCAUCUCUUGGUGGUGGAAAGCUCCGGCGGUGCAGGAUGAGCCCGCGGCCUAUCAGCUAGUCGGUGGGGUAAUGGCCUACCGAGGCGACGACGGGUAGCCGGCCUGAGAGGGCGACCGGCCACACUGGGACUGAGACACGGCCCAGACUCCUACGGGAGGCAGCAGUGGGGAAUAUUGCACAAUGGGCGCAAGCCUGAUGCAGCGACGCCGCGUGAGGGAUGACGGCCUUCGGGUUGUAAACCUCUUUCAGCAGGGAAGAAGCGAAAGUGACGGUACCUGCAGAAGAAGCGCCGGCUAACUACGUGCCAGCAGCCGCGGUAAUACGUAGGGCGCAAGCGUUGUCCGGAAUUAUUGGGCGUAAAGAGCUCGUAGGCGGCUUGUCGCGUCGGUUGUGAAAGCCCGGGGCUUAACCCCGGGUCUGCAGUCGAUACGGGCAGGCUAGAGUUCGGUAGGGGAGAUCGGAAUUCCUGGUGUAGCGGUGAAAUGCGCAGAUAUCAGGAGGAACACCGGUGGCGAAGGCGA